AUUGAACGCUGGCGGCAGGCCUAACACAUGCAAGUCGAGCGGAAACGAAGAGUAGCUUGCUACUCUGGCGUCGAGCGGCGGACGGGUGAGUAAUGCCUAGGAAAUUGCCCUGAUGUGGGGGAUAACCAUUGGAAACGAUGGCUAAUACCGCAUAAUGCCUACGGGCCAAAGAGGGGGACCUUCGGGCCUCUCGCGUCAGGAUAUGCCUAGGUGGGAUUAGCUAGUUGGUGAGGUAAAGGCUCACCAAGGCGACGAUCCCUAGCUGGUCUGAGAGGAUGAUCAGCCACACUGGAACUGAGACACGGUCCAGACUCCUACGGGAGGCAGCAGUGGGGAAUAUUGCACAAUGGGCGCAAGCCUGAUGCAGCCAUGCCGCGUGUAUGAAGAAGGCCUUCGGGUUGUAAAGUACUUUCAGUCGUGAGGAAGGCAUAUACGUUAAUAGCGUAUGUGUUUGACGUUAGCGACAGAAGAAGCACCGGCUAACUCCGUGCCAGCAGCCGCGGUAAUACGGAGGGUGCGAGCGUUAAUCGGAAUUACUGGGCGUAAAGCGCAUGCAGGUGGUUCGUUAAGUCAGAUGUGAAAGCCCGGGGCUCAACCUCGGAACCGCAUUUGAAACUGGCGGACUAGAGUACUGUAGAGGGGGGUAGAAUUUCAGGUGUAGCGGUGAAAUGCGUAGAGAUCUGAAGGAAUACCAGUGGCGAAGGCGGCCCCCUGGA
RNAcentral lists this ribosomal RNA (716 nucleotides) under uncultured Vibrio sp. RNAcentral's name for it is "bacterial SSU rRNA". It matches the Rfam family "Bacterial small subunit ribosomal RNA", at positions 28 to 733 of the family's 1533-position model. Lineage: Bacteria; Pseudomonadati; Pseudomonadota; Gammaproteobacteria; Vibrionales; Vibrionaceae. The record is from RNAcentral.